RNAcentral lists this transfer RNA (69 nucleotides) under Felis catus (domestic cat). It matches the Rfam family "tRNA". Rfam says of the family: Transfer RNA (tRNA) molecules are approximately 80 nucleotides in length. Lineage: Eukaryota; Metazoa; Chordata; Mammalia; Carnivora; Felidae. The record is from Rfam by way of RNAcentral. RNAcentral also lists the same sequence under 5 other names.
ACCUGGCUGGCUCAGUAGAGCAUGUGACUCUUGAUCUCAGGGUUGUGAGUUGGAGCCCCAUGUUUGGUG